This 746-nucleotide ribosomal RNA is filed under the name uncultured bacterium. Its description in RNAcentral is "bacterial SSU rRNA". It matches the Rfam family "Bacterial small subunit ribosomal RNA", at positions 8 to 796 of the family's 1533-position model. The record is from RNAcentral.
AGAGUUUGAUCCUGGCUCAGGAUGAACGCUGGCGGUAUGCUUAACACAUGCAAGUCGAACGGAAGUCUUCGGACUUUAGUGGCGGACGGGUGAGUAACGCGUGAGAAUCUGGCUUUAGGUCGGGGACAACAGUUGGAAACGACUGCUAAUACCGGAUAUGCCGAGAGGUGAAAGAUUAAUUGCCUGAAGAAGAGCUCGCGUCUGAUUAGCUAGUUGGUGGGGUAAGAGCUCACCAAGGCGACGAUCAGUAGCUGGUCUGAGAGGACGAUCAGCCACACUGGGACUGAGACACGGCCCAGACUCCUACGGGAGGCAGCAGUGGGGAAUUUUCCGCAAUGGGCGAAAGCCUGACGGAGCAAUACCGCGUGAGGGAGGAAGGCUCUUGGGUUGUAAACCUCUUUUCUUAGGGAAGAAAAAAAUGACGGUACCUAAGGAAUCAGCAUCGGCUAACUCCGUGCCAGCAGCCGCGGUAAUACGGAGGAUGCAAGCGUUAUCCGGAAUGAUUGGGCGUAAACGUCCGCAGGUGGCAUUUCAAGUCUGCGGUCAAAGGUCGAGGCUCAACCUCGAACAGGCCGUGGAAACUGAAAAGCUAGAGUGUGGUAGGGGCAGAGGGAAUUCCUGGUGUAGCGGUGAAAUGCGUAGAGAUCAGGAAGAACACCGGUGGCGAAANNNNCUCUGCUGGACCUUAACUGACACUGAGGGACGAAAGCUAGGGGAGCGAAUGGGAUUAGAUACCCUAGUAGUCC